Molecule: ribosomal RNA, 468 nt
Filed under: uncultured bacterium
Lineage: Bacteria
Description: partial 16S ribosomal RNA
Rfam family: Bacterial small subunit ribosomal RNA
Source: RNAcentral
GACGAACGCUGGCGGCGUGCUUAACACAUGCAAGUCGAACGGAAAGGCCCUGCUUUUGUGGGGUGCUCGAGUGGCGAACGGGUGAGUAACACGUGAGUAACCUGCCCUUGACUUUGGGAUAACUUCAGGAAACUGGGGCUAAUACCGGAUAUGAGCUCCUGAUGCAUGGUGGGGGUUGGAAAGUUUCGGCGGUUGGGGCUGGACUCGCGGCUUAUCAGCUUGUUGGUGGGGUAGUGGCUUACCCAGGCUUUGACGGGUAGCCGGCCUGAGCGGGUGACAGGCCAUCUUGGGACUGAGAGACGGCCCAGACAGGUACGGGAGGGAGCAGUGGGGAAUAUUGCACAAUGGGCGGCAGCCUGGUGCAGCAGCGCCGCGUGCGGGAUGACUGCCUUCGGGUUGUAAACCGCUUUCGCCUGUGACGAAGCGUGAGUGACGGUAAUGUGUAAAGAAGCACCGGCUAACUACGUG